Molecule: small nuclear RNA, 103 nt
Filed under: Piliocolobus tephrosceles (Ugandan red Colobus)
Lineage: Eukaryota; Metazoa; Chordata; Mammalia; Primates; Cercopithecidae
Source: RNAcentral
GUGCUUGCUUUGGCAGUACACGUACUGAAAUUGAGCAAUACAGAGAUUAGCAUGGCCCCUUUGCAAGGGUGAUAUCCAAAUUUGUGAGGUGUUCCAUAUAUUG